AUUGGUAACGAUAGCAAAGUGGAUACACCUGUUCCCAUCCCGAACACAGAAGUUAAGCACUUUCACGCCGACGAUAGUGUAAGCGAAAAUAGGUAGUUGCCAAUA
This 105-nucleotide ribosomal RNA is filed under the name Bacillota bacterium. Lineage: Bacteria; Bacillati; Bacillota. The record is from RNAcentral.